CUUGGUCAUUUAGAGGAAGUAAAAGUCGUAACAAGGUCUCCGUAGGUGAACCUGCGGAGGGAUCAUUACACAACAAAAAUAUGAGGGUGUGGUUUGCUGGCAACAGCGUCCGCCCCAAGUAUUUUUCACCCAUGUCUUUUGCGCACUUUUUGUUUCCUGGGCGAGUUCGCUCGCCACCAGGACCCAACCAUAAACCUUUUUUUAUGCAGUUGCAAUCAGCGUCAGUAUAAUAAUUCAAUUUAUUAAAACUUUCAACAACGGAUCUCUUGGUUCUGGCAUCGAUGAAGAACGCAGCGAAAUGCGAUACGUAGUGUGAAUUGCAGAAUUCAGUGAAUCAUCGAAUCUUUAACGCACAUUGCGCCCUUUGGUAUUCCAAAGGGCAUGCCUGUUCGAGCGUCAUUUGUACCCUCAAGCUUUGCUUGGUGUUGGGCGUCUUUUUGUCUCUCCCCUUGUUGGGGGAGACUCGCCUUAAAACGAUUGGCAGCCGACCUACUGGUUUUCGGAGCGCAGCACAAAUUUGCGCCUUCCAAUCCACAGGGCGGCAUCCAGCAAGCCUUUGUUUUCUAUAACAAAUCCACAUUUUGACCUCGGAUCAGGUAGGGAUACCCGCUGAACUUAAGCAUAUCAAUAAACGGAGGA
This 639-nucleotide ribosomal RNA is filed under the name uncultured fungus. RNAcentral's name for it is "eukaryotic LSU rRNA". The stretch from base 247 to 399 matches the Rfam family "5.8S ribosomal RNA". Lineage: Eukaryota; Fungi. The record is from RNAcentral.